ACACCCCACAUUCAAAAAUUUUUUUUUUUUUUGAGUGGAAUUGAGAGUUUUUACUGUUGAAAUUUCAUUUCAACUGUUCUCUUUAAAAAUAUUAGGCCUGAAAUUUUAGUUUUUUUGUUGCCUGAACUUUUUUUUUAAUAUAAAGGAAAAGCUCUGGGUCAAUUUUUAAAAAAAGCUUAUUAUCUUGGGGCCUCCCAAAUAAAUCAUUCUUAA
RNAcentral lists this unclassified non-coding RNA (213 nucleotides) under Mucor minutus. RNAcentral's name for it is "partial internal transcribed spacer 2". Lineage: Eukaryota; Fungi; Mucoromycota; Mucoromycetes; Mucorales; Mucoraceae. The record is from RNAcentral.